Molecule: long non-coding RNA, 864 nt
Organism: Solanum stenotomum
Lineage: Eukaryota; Viridiplantae; Streptophyta; Magnoliopsida; Solanales; Solanaceae
Exons: 3
Source: RefSeq, a predicted model, not a curated record
GCUUGACUUUGGUGAAAGAUCAUCAUCUUCACAAAAAUGUAUUUGAGUGCAUUGGUAAAUUUUUAGCACAAUAAUAAGCUUCUUGAACAAUUUACUAGUCAAAGCAUGCUUAAUUAUCUGCAAGUAGAUUUAGUAAGGGCUAACAUGCAAAUGUGCUCAACCCUUGUGUGGCCAUGAGUUGCAACUAUCAAGCUUCAAUACUAGUAAUCCCUAUGAAAAUUGUUAUAUUACCAAAAAGGGACUUUUGCAAAUUGUUACUACAGAUCUGAAAGGGAAACUGUUUCACUAACUCUCCAGAAAAUCAAUGCUUGCAUAUAUGACUUACCGUGAUGCUUUUACAAGAUUUCAAAGGAAGCUGCUGGAGUUUGGUUCUGUCACAAACUCUUGGGAGAAAUAUUAUUCUGUACUAGUUGCAUAUAUAGGAAUAUCGUUGAAGUUUACAAAUUCAGACAAGACCCAAAAGUUCAUAUAAUACAUUCCGUUGUUGUGUCAAUAGGAAAUAUUGAUAUACGGAAACGUGCAGAAUUUCACCACUCGAGUAGAAAACACAAACUAGACGCCCUAUUGUAUUAUACAUUUGAAGCAAUGUCUUAACAGCCUGUACUGUAUGCACACAUUUGUGGCCCCUGAAACUUCAAAACUGAAAAGCAGCAGCAUUUCGUUAAAUGUUGGGAAAAUGCUCUCUUUAUGGAUCUCAGCAGCAGUCUGUCUUAAACUUGGAUAUUUGGAGAAGCAUUUUCCAACAUACUCUCACAGAUAAAUGACUUGGGAUUGUCUGAUCUACCUUUCACUUGGAAAUGAUUUGGAAGGUUGUUUUCCCUUUUAACAUCUUUUGUUCCCUCAGGCUUCCCUGAAAGCCUCCAA